CCGACUGCUAUCGGAUGAUACUAAGCCAUGCGAGUCUUUGUAGUAAUACAAGGCAGACGGCUCAGUAACACGUAGUCAACCUACCCUAUGGACAAGAAUAAUCUCGGGAAACUGGGCAUAAUUCUUGAUAGAUCAUAAUGCCUGGAAUGGUUUAUGGUUAAAAUGAUUCGUCGCCAUAGGAUGGGACUGCGGCCUAUCAGCUUGUUGGUGAGGUAAUGGCCCACCAAGGCGAUUACAGGUACGGGCUCUGAGAGGAGAAGCCCGGAGAUGGGUACUGAGACACGGACCCAGGCCCUAUGGGGCGCAGCAGGCGAGAAAACUUUGCAAUGUGCGAAAGCACGACAAGGUUAAUCCGAGUGAUUUCUGCUAAAGAAAUCUUUUGCCAGUCAUAAAACCACUGGUGAAUAAGGGGUGGGCAAGUUCUGGUGUCAGCCGCCGCGGUAAAACCAGCACCUCAAGUGGUCAGGAUGAUUAUUGGGCCUAAAGCAUCCGUAGCCGGCUUUGUUAGUUUUCGGUUAAAUCCAUGUGCUCAACGCAUGGGCUGCCGAAAAUACUGCAUGGCUAGGGAGUGGGAGAGGUAGACGGUACUCAGUAGGAAGGGGUAAAAUCCUUUGAUCUAUUGAUGACCACCUGUGGCGAAGGCGGUCUACCAGAACACGUUCGACGGUGAGGGAUGAAAGCUGGGGGAGCAAACCGGAUUAGAUACCCGGGUAGUCCCAGCUGUAAACGAUGCAGACUCGAUGAUGCAUUGGCAUAAUAGCCAUUGCAGUGUCGCAGGGAAGCCGUUAAGUCUGCCGCCUGGGAAGUACGUACGCAAGUAUGAAACUUAAAGGAAUUGGCGGGGGAGCACCACAAGGGGUGAAGCCUGCGGUUCAAU
RNAcentral lists this ribosomal RNA (877 nucleotides) under uncultured marine group I thaumarchaeote. RNAcentral describes it as "SSU rRNA". It matches the Rfam family "Archaeal small subunit ribosomal RNA", at positions 23 to 906 of the family's 1478-position model. Lineage: Archaea; Thermoproteati; Nitrososphaerota. The record is from RNAcentral.